Long non-coding RNA from Neodiprion fabricii, 482 nucleotides. RefSeq lists it as uncharacterized. NCBI's taxonomy places the organism in Eukaryota, Metazoa, Arthropoda, Insecta, Hymenoptera, Diprionidae. The transcript is spliced from 3 exons. The record is from RefSeq and is a predicted model, not a curated record.
GACCAGUGUUGCCAGUCUGAAAUUUCGCUGCGUAUUAUCCAUGGUUAUAGAAAGUACUAGAUUGAUAGUUGCCCAACAGUCAACUACCGGCUGAGGUUUAUUUCGGGUUGAUUGGUGGGGUUUAUUUUGGUUCAGUUGACGGGGAUGGUUUUGGUUUUGUUGAUGGGGUUUGUUGUGGUUAGUAUGCUGUAAUUUGAAAAAAGCGUCCACCUCCGACGACCACCACAUUCACCAUCGAGAUGGACGAAGAAAGGCACGAGGAGGAGGAGGACGAGAAAUGCGAGAUGAACAAGGUGGACGAAGAGGACGAGGAUUUGUGCACGUAUUCAAGGUAUAACCCAAGGUAGUUGGCUGUGGUCGUUGGAGGUGGUUGGCAGUGGUUCGAGGUGGUCGGAGGAGAACAAAGAGAACAAAUACGAUGCGGAGAACAAGGCUGAGUAAGAGGUGAAGAAGGACGAGGUGGUAGAGGGUACCAGGUGGUG